UACGUAGGGUCCGAGCGUUGUCCGGAAUUAUUGGGCGUAAAGGGCUCGUAGGCGGUUUGUCACGUCGGGCGUGAAAACUCAGGGCUCAACCCUGAGCGUGCGUUCGAUACGGGCAGACUAGAGGUAUGCAGGGGAGAACGGAAUUCCUGGUGUAGCGGUGGAAUGCGCAGAUAUCAGGAGGAACACCGGUGGCGAAGGCGGGUCUCUGGGCCGAUACUGACGCUGAGGAGCGAAAGCGUGGGGAGCGAACAGG
Molecule: ribosomal RNA, 253 nt
Filed under: uncultured bacterium
Lineage: Bacteria
Description: partial 16S ribosomal RNA
Rfam family: Bacterial small subunit ribosomal RNA
Source: RNAcentral